UUUCUCCUCAAUUUCCGAUAGUCGUUGUACAAAGGUUCCAGGUAACGAUACACGUCAACAUCAGUCCCAGUUAGACGCAAGUAAAAGGCACCAAGAACCCGAACAUAUUUGUAGUCUUCGUUCUUGAUGAACUCGAUUACAAUUUCCUUCUCCGGCUGAAUCUGGAGCAUCUUCAUAACAAGACACAUGAACGGCGUGGGUUUGCGGUUGCCACCAUAUGUACCGCCGAGGUGGUCGAGCUCCAUGGCUUUAUCAACCAGUGUCUCCGCCGUCAACCCAAAACAUUGUUCCUUCCAGUAAGUAUUCUGGUAGAUCUUUGAACGAAGAAUCUUCUCCACCAGAUUCUGCGGGUUCGUUCCCCGUAUGCUUUUGGCAGCUGGGUCCGUACGAUUAGCCAUAACUACCAGCUAUAGAACAGCUAAAUCCGUGUCUGUCCAGGGAAAUCGACAGAGGAGAUUGAUCGAAACCCUAGUUCUAACGCCGGACGGCGAGAGGAUGGCGAAAUGAG
Molecule: unclassified non-coding RNA, 508 nt
Filed under: Hevea brasiliensis (rubber tree)
Lineage: Eukaryota; Viridiplantae; Streptophyta; Magnoliopsida; Malpighiales; Euphorbiaceae
Source: RNAcentral